This 392-nucleotide ribosomal RNA is filed under the name uncultured bacterium. RNAcentral's name for it is "partial 16S ribosomal RNA". It matches the Rfam family "Bacterial small subunit ribosomal RNA", at positions 523 to 918 of the family's 1533-position model. The record is from RNAcentral.
AUACGGAGGAUCCGAGCGUUAUCCGGAUUUAUUGGGUUUAAAGGGUGCGCAGGCGGCCAUUUAAGUCAGCGGUUAAAUCGUGGGGCUCAACCCCAUUCUGCCGUUGAUACUGGGUGGCUUGAUUGCGGUCGAGGUUGGCGGAAUUCGUUGUGUAGCGGUGAAAUGCAUAGAUAUGACGAAGAACACCGAUUGCGUAGGCAGCUGACCAGACCGCAAAUGACGCUCAUGCACGAAAGUGCGGGGAUCGAACAGGAUUAGAUACCCUGGUAGUCCGCACAGUAAACGAUGAAUACUUGUUUUCGGCGAUAUAAUGUCGGAGGCAAAGCGAAAGUGAUAAGUAUUCCACCAGGGGAGUACGCCGGCAACGGUGAAACUCAAAUGAAUUGACGGGG